RNAcentral lists this ribosomal RNA (253 nucleotides) under uncultured bacterium. RNAcentral describes it as "partial 16S ribosomal RNA". It matches the Rfam family "Bacterial small subunit ribosomal RNA", at positions 524 to 776 of the family's 1533-position model. The record is from RNAcentral.
UACAGAGGGUGCGAGCGUUAAUCGGAAUUACUGGGCGUAAAGCGUGCGUAGACGGUUAUUUAAGUCGGGUGUGAAAGCCCCGGGCUCAACCUGGGAAUUGCAUUCGAGACUGAAUAGCUAGGGUACGGUAGAGGGAAGCGGAAUUUCCGGUGUAGCGGUGAAAUGCGUAGAUAUCGGAAGGAACACCAGUGGCGAAGGCAAUCCCCUGGGCCUGCACUGACGCUCAUGCACGAAAGCGUGGGGAGCAAACAGG